ACGGGAGGCAGCAGUAGGGAAUAUUAGGCAAUGGGGGCAACCCUGACCUAGCAACGCCGCGUGAAGGAAGAAGGCCUUCGGGUUGUAAACUUCUUUUAUAGGGGACGAAACAAAUGACGGUACCCUAUGAAUAAGCCACGGCUAACUACGUGCCAGCAGCCGCGGUAAUACGUAGGGAGCAAGCGUUAUCCGGAAUUACUGGGUGUAAAGGGAGUGUAGGCGGGACUGUAAGUCAGAUGUGAAAUAUGCCGGCUCAACUGGCAGACUGCAUUUGAAACUGCGGUUCUUGAGUGAAGUAGAGGUAAGCGGAAUUCCUAGUGUAGCGGUGAAAUGCGUAGAUAUUAGGAGGAACAUCAGUGGCGAAGGCGGCUUACUGGGCUUUAACUGACGCUGAGGCUCGAAAGCGUGGGGAGCAAACAGGAUUAGAUACCCUGGUA
This 437-nucleotide ribosomal RNA is filed under the name uncultured Ruminococcus sp. RNAcentral describes it as "bacterial SSU rRNA". It matches the Rfam family "Bacterial small subunit ribosomal RNA", at positions 341 to 792 of the family's 1533-position model. Lineage: Bacteria; Bacillati; Bacillota; Clostridia; Eubacteriales; Oscillospiraceae. The record is from RNAcentral.